UAAGAUGACUGAUAUAAGUGGUGGAUUGUAGCUCCAUAUAUAAAGGUUUAAGCCCUUUUCUUAC
Molecule: transfer RNA, 64 nt
Filed under: Anablepsoides hartii
Lineage: Eukaryota; Metazoa; Chordata; Actinopteri; Cyprinodontiformes; Rivulidae
Description: tRNA-Tyr
Rfam family: tRNA
About the family: Transfer RNA (tRNA) molecules are approximately 80 nucleotides in length.
Source: RNAcentral